UACAGCCUUAUAUUUGGGUUUCAUACACUGCAGGUUUUGGGAAGCUACUGAAGAUCCUUCAGCUGGACAGACUUUAGAAUCAGAGUUCUACUUCUGAGAGAAUUUAGAACCUGCUCAGUGAAUUCACACAGCUCACAAUCAGGUUUCUCUGUGCAGCCCUGGAUGUCCUGGAACUUGCUUUGUAGACAAGGCUGGCUUCAAAUUCAGAGAUCUGCCAGCCUCUACUGGAAUUAAAGGAGAAGCUGCCACCACCACCCAGCCAUUGACAUGUUUAAUCCCCAGAAACUAGGUAAAGAACCAGAUGCAGUGGUACACAUCUGUAAUUAAGCAUUCCUACAGAGGAUAAGAGGUGGAAACAGAAUUGUCCAGAAGCUUCCAGGACAGCUAGCAUGGAGUAUAUGGUGUAGCAGGAGAAACAAUAAAAAAGACCCUGACUCAACAAGGUCCCAGGUGAGAACCAACUCUUAAAAAUCAUCCUCUAACCUCUACACAAACACACACCAUGGCACACAUGUACAAUAAUAACACACCCAACCCAAGAAGUUAAUUAAUUAGAAUGAUGUCCAAGUCAAAGUGAGGUGUGAGUUUAUUUUCUAGUCUUGCUCACUGAAAGACCCUACAAGCAAUGGCAUCAUCAUAGAGGCAGUGAGGAAUGAUACUUAGCACUUAGAUCUGUUGUUUAGCCAGGCUGACCUUAAAGUUACUACCUUCCUACCUCAGACCCACAAGAACUUGUAGUUGUGUGCCACCAUGUCUAGCCCCAGCAUUUCUUUUUU
Long non-coding RNA from Alexandromys fortis (reed vole), 776 nucleotides. RefSeq lists it as uncharacterized. Lineage: Eukaryota; Metazoa; Chordata; Mammalia; Rodentia; Cricetidae. The record is from RefSeq and is a predicted model, not a curated record. The transcript has 2 exons.